CCUACGGGGGGCAGCAGUGAGGAAUAUUGGUCAAUGGACGAGAGUCUGAACCAGCCAAGUAGCGUGAAGGAUGACUGCCCUACGGGUUGUAAACUUCUUUUAUAUGGGAAUAAAAUGAGCCACGUGUGCGUUUUUGUAUGUACCUUAUGAAUAAGGAUCGGCUAACUCCGUGCCAGCAGCCGCGGUAAUACGGAGGAUCCGAGCGUUAUCCGGAUUUAUUGGGUUUAAAGGGAGCGUAGGUGGGUUGUUAAGUCAGUUGUGAAAGUUUGCGGCUCAACCGUAAAAUUGCAGUUGAAACUGGCAGUCUUGAGUACAGUAGAGGUAGGCGGAAUUCGUGGUGUAGCGGUGAAAUGCUUAGAUAUCACGAAGAACUCCGAUUGCGAAGGCAGCUCACUGAACUGCAACUGACACUGAGGCUCGAAAGUGUGGGUAUCAAACAGGAUUAGAUACCCCUGUAGUC
RNAcentral lists this ribosomal RNA (460 nucleotides) under uncultured bacterium. RNAcentral describes it as "partial 16S ribosomal RNA". It matches the Rfam family "Bacterial small subunit ribosomal RNA", at positions 338 to 795 of the family's 1533-position model. The record is from RNAcentral.